Molecule: ribosomal RNA, 301 nt
Filed under: uncultured bacterium
Lineage: Bacteria
Description: partial 16S ribosomal RNA
Rfam family: Bacterial small subunit ribosomal RNA
Source: RNAcentral
CAGCCGCCACGGUAAUCCGUAGGUGGCAAGCGUUGUCCGGAAUUAUUGGGCGUAAAGGGCUCGCAGGCGGUUUCUUAAGUCUGAUGUGAAAGCCCCCGGCUCAACCGGGGAGGGUCAUUGGAGACUGGGAAACUUGAGUGCAGAAGAGGAGAGUGGAAUUCCACAUGUAGCGGUGAAAUGCGUAGAGAUGUGGAGGAACACCAGUGGCGAAGGCGACUCUCUGGUCUGUAACUGACGCUGAGGAGCGAAAGCGUGGGGAGCGAACAGGAUUAGAGACCCCAGUAGUCCCUGUCUCUUAUAC